Molecule: ribosomal RNA, 404 nt
Filed under: Actinomycetes bacterium
Lineage: Bacteria; Bacillati; Actinomycetota; Actinomycetes
Description: Actinobacteria bacterium partial 16S ribosomal RNA
Rfam family: Bacterial small subunit ribosomal RNA
Source: RNAcentral
UGGGGAAUAUUGGACAAUGGGCGCAAGCCUGAUCCAGCCAUGCCGCGUGAGUGAUGAAGGCCCUAGGGUUGUAAAGCUCUUUCACCGGCGAAGAUAAUGACGGUAACCGGAGAAGAAGCCCCGGCUAACUUCGUGCCAGCAGCCGCGGUAAUACGAAGGGGGCUAGCGUUGUUCGGAUUUACUGGGCGUAAAGCGCACGUAGGCGGACUAUUAAGUCAGGGGUGAAAUCCCGGGGCUCAACCCCGGAACUGCCUUUGAUACUGGUAGUCUUGGGUUCGAGGGGGGGGAGUGGAAUUCCGGGUGUAGAGGUGAAAUUCGUAGAUAUUCGGAGGAACACCAGGGGCGAAGGCGGCUCACUGGCUCGAUACUGACGCUGAGGUGCGAAAGCGUGGGGAGCAAACAGG